AGCUCCAAUAGCGUAUAUUAAAGUUGUUGCAGUUAAAAAGCUCGUAGUUGGAUUUCGGGGCAGAUGAGGCACGCUGAUGCCUACGGGUUCGGCGGUGACUCGCUGUUCUUACCUGUCAUGUAUCAUCCUUGUUGGUGGUGCUUGGCUCGUUUACUGUGAAAAAAUUAGAGUGUUCAACGCAGGCUAACGCCGUGAAUACAUUAGCAUGGAAUAAUAAAAUAGGACUCUGGUUCUAUUUUGUUGGUUUCUAGGACCGGAGUAAUGAUUAAUAGGGACAGUUGGGGGCAUUCGUAUUCUUGAGUCAGAGGUGAAAUUCUUAGAUUUCAGGAAGACGAACUUCUGCGAAAGCAUUUGCCAAGGAUGUUUUCAUCA
This 372-nucleotide ribosomal RNA is filed under the name Nephroselmis sp. RNAcentral's name for it is "partial small subunit ribosomal RNA". It matches the Rfam family "Eukaryotic small subunit ribosomal RNA", at positions 587 to 975 of the family's 1831-position model. The record is from RNAcentral. Lineage: Eukaryota; Viridiplantae; Chlorophyta; Nephroselmidophyceae; Nephroselmidales; Nephroselmidaceae.